ACGUAGAUGAUACAAACAUUAAUCAAAGUUCGUCUUUAAAAUGAUUGUUAAAAUUGGCUGGAUCUAUUCAUAGAAUAAGACUUGUAAAUUGCAUUUAAAAGCUCAGCAAAGAAUUAGGCCCUAAAAACUGGAAACAACCUGAAAAGUCUUUUCUCUGUCCCAAAGCUGCCCUCAGAAAUGCCAGAAAAAAAAUCCUUGGAUUGGGACCAGAAGGAGGCUGGAGGGAGAAUGACUCAGCAGCCACCUGUCCAGCCAACGCCCUGGACAAAUGGGACAAGAGACCUGGCAGGUGGUGCCCAUGGCGGGGGUGAUGUGAGCCCUGGACCCAGGCUCCUGUCUGUCUUCCUCUUCCCGUCCCCAGCUGGGAGGCACUCCCCCAAAGCAGUCACUGGGCUACAGCAGGGACCUGGGGGUCAUUGGAGGUCUCAGCCCCUGCGCCUCGCAGCCUCUGGGAGAAAUGAGCCUGGACGUCCCCUGACACCCCCUGGUCUCUGGAGCCCUUUGUCUGCUUGGCGUUGUCCUCUGUGGUGCACAGCACAAUGCCCCCCAGAGACUCAGUUCCUAAUCUCUGGAACCUGCGAAUGUUAGGGCAAAAGAGACUUUUGCAGAUGUGAUUAAAUUCAGGGUUUUGUGAUUAAGGAAGAUUAUCCCGGAUUAUCCAGGUGGGCCCUGGAUGUCACCCCAAAGGUCGUUGUAAGAGAGAAGCAGAGGGAGAUUGGAUGCAAGGAGGUGGCAACACGAGCACUGAAGCAGGAAGCUACGCUCCCGAGCACGAGGAAUACAGCUCUGGAAACUGGGAGAGGUGAGGAAACAGAUUCUCCCCAUGAGCCCCUGGAAGGAGCAAGUCCCUGCUGUCACCCUGAUUUCUACCCAGGGAGACACUAAAUGUGGACCUUUGGACUCCAGACUGUCAGAGAAGAAGUGUGUGAUUUUAAGCCACCACCUUGGUGGUCACUGUCACAGCAGCAAGAGGAUGCUGGCACAGCUGCGUGGACUGUGGUCUGGUUCCUGUGACAGCUCAGAAAUGCUUGGUGUUAGACUAGGGGUGACAAGCCAGACUUCAUGUCACAGUUAAGCUGAAGUUCACUGGAAAUGCGGUGAUCCAGAGGUCUCCAGAGGGGAGUUGUCUGCUUCUAGGGGAGGUGCAAGGUAACCUGUUGAGGUGCUUUGCAGUAGAAAAUCGGGAGGUGUCAGGUUUGGCCUCCUCCAGGGCCCUGCAGGCAGUGGGAAGCGAC
Non-coding RNA from Vicugna pacos (alpaca), 1235 nucleotides. The record is from RefSeq and is a predicted model, not a curated record. Lineage: Eukaryota; Metazoa; Chordata; Mammalia; Artiodactyla; Camelidae.